AACGUACGUCAGCCAUAUCCUGUCCAUUUGUCUGGAUCAGUUGCCGGGGAGUACCAACACUGCAUGAUUCCUCUACCCGUUCAGAUCCAGCUACCCCUACCUCGAUCAUCCAGAACAGCAUCAACAGCACCAAGGACCCCUUCGACAUCGACCCCAUCAACCUCCAGAACACUGUCGACCCCAACGACCCCAUUGACCUCAACAUUCAGAAAUAUGGAUGUCGAAGUUGUACCACCACAAGCUAGACAAGAUUUUGAUUCCGACUAACCUAUUCUUUAAAGGUCAAUUGCCUUAGGAAAUUAAAACUUUUAUGUCUUGUAUCAAGACCCUUUUAAAGCAACAUAAUAACAAUUGUUUCAUAAAUAAAUGCCUCCUUAUAUUUUUUACAAUUUUUUGAAAACCUCUCCAAGUUGCUCGUCUAAUGGUGGACCCCGCCCCUUACAAUUCUCAGAGUUCCUCGGAAUGAUUGACCAAAGGAUUAGUGAUGUUAUAUCAAGAACGAUCUCCGCUUAGGCAAGCUACGGUGCUUGCUAGCCAGCUCUGCAGGCAUUAUGUUUUGUACACAAACAUAAACAAUAACUUUUAUUAUUAAAUAGUGUGCUAUGCAUCUUUACUUGUUAUUUAUUGUGGUGAAAUUUCACUAAUUGCCCAAUUUUAAAAAGAGAGCUAUACCAUGAGUCGAAGAAGGUCGUAAUUAAUUUGAAUGCCUGUAUAACGUGUCAACUAAAUGCAUGCUAUAAAGAAUUUCAAAGGUAAGAAAAAAAUGUUUCAUAUAUCUAAGUGACUGAAUGUUUUUCGUACUACCUUCUUCUCAAUUUAAAGAAAUAUUGAAAGUGGUAUAUCAGAGUGAAGAAACUUGUGUUUUUCCCUUUACAAGCUCUGCUCUUUCUUACUUCACUUUCAAAUUUCCUCUCUUGUUAUAUAAACAUUUAGCGAUUGCUUUACUUCACACAUUCAAGCAAUGUAUACUAUCCCUCCUAAAACACAUAGAAAAAACACCUCCUAACAAUAGAUAUGGCGACGAAAUGUAUCAGCAUCUCUGAAAUGCCUAAGCAUAACAAAUGUUGGCAAUUUCUCUGAAUUUUAUUUUUUAAUUUUUUAUGGAACAUUGUUUACAUUAAUUGCCUAGUUCUUGGUAUGCAAAUGGUGGACACUUUAUUCAUUUCUUUAUAUUUUUGUGCUGUACAUAUGUAGAGGAAUCUUGUCAUAAGCAAUCGUGUUCGUCUGCCAGAAAGUUUGUUUUGUUUUACUCGGGAAGUUGCGAGGAUUGUUUAUUAUAUUCGUACAAUGAAUUUCAGUAUGUUAUGUUGUGUUACGUGUAAGCGACAAUUCAUUUUAUAACAGCUCCUAUCGUCCUAGCAUUCAUUGAUAGUAGGCCUAUAUUGUGACACAUUGAGAUACCUUGAACUUGAAACUAUGUUUACAUCUUUUUCGAAUUCAAACGAAAAUACAAAAGAAAGAUGUACAAUAA
Molecule: long non-coding RNA, 1471 nt
Filed under: Strongylocentrotus purpuratus (purple sea urchin)
Lineage: Eukaryota; Metazoa; Echinodermata; Echinoidea; Camarodonta; Strongylocentrotidae
Description: uncharacterized LOC105440169
Source: RNAcentral